This 448-nucleotide ribosomal RNA is filed under the name uncultured bacterium. RNAcentral describes it as "SSU rRNA". It matches the Rfam family "Bacterial small subunit ribosomal RNA", at positions 26 to 518 of the family's 1533-position model. The record is from RNAcentral.
AGAGCGAACGCUGGCGGCAGGCCUAACACAUGCAGGUCGAGCGCCCGUAGCAAUACGGGAGCGGCAGACGGGAUAGUAACACGUGGGAACGCGCCCUUCGGUUCGGAAUAACUCAGGGAAACUUGAGCUAAUACCGGAUACGCCCUUACGGGGAAAGAUUUAUUGCCGAAGGAACGGCCCGCGUCCGAUUAGCCAGUUGGUGAGGUAAUGGCUCACCAAGGCGACGAUCGGUAGCUGGUCUGAGAGGAUGACCAGCAUCACUGGGACUGAGACACGGCCCAGACUCCUACGGGAGGCAGCAGUGGGGAAUAUUGGACAAUGGGCGCAAGCCUGAUCCAGCCAUGCCGCGUGGAUGAUGAAGGCCUUAGGGUUGUAAAGUCCUUUUAACGGGGAAGAUAAUGACGGUACCCGUAGAAUAAGCCCCGGCUAACUUCGUGCCAGCAGCCGC